Non-coding RNA from Chiloscyllium plagiosum (whitespotted bambooshark), 258 nucleotides. The record is from RefSeq and is a predicted model, not a curated record. Lineage: Eukaryota; Metazoa; Chordata; Chondrichthyes; Orectolobiformes; Hemiscylliidae.
GCAUAACAGAGGCACGUUACAUUAAAUGUAAAACCUUCUACACCAUUUCCCCCCCUGCCCCCAAACCUUGCAUUGGGGCACCUGAUUGCUUACCCUUUGCAUAUUCAAUACUGACAAACCUCACGACAAGUACGAUAAGGCAAUUAUAUACAAUGAGGGUUUUAUUGGUAGUAUUUAUUCUCUGCAACAUUAUUCUAGGAGUAUUUUCAUUUAAAUGCAAGAGCUGCCUGAAUGUACCUGAGCCCCGAUGUGAAGACA